GGGGGCAUGGCGUAAUUGGUAGCGCGUCUGACUCCAGAUCAGAAGGCUGGGUGUUCGAGUCACUCUGUCCUCA
This is a non-coding RNA of Oxytricha trifallax, 73 nucleotides long. NCBI's taxonomy places the organism in Eukaryota, Ciliophora, Spirotrichea, Sporadotrichida, Oxytrichidae. The record is from Rfam.